UACCCGGAGAAAAAGCAUCGGCUAACUCCGUGCCAGCAGCCGCGGUAAUACAGAGGGUGCGAGCGUUAAUCGGAUUUACUGGGCGUAAAGCGUACGUAGGCGGCUUUUUAAGUCGGAUGUGAAAUCCCUGAGCUUAACUUAGGAAUUGCAUUCGAUACUGGGAAGCUAGAGUAUGGGAGAGGAUGGUAGAAUUCCAGGUGUAGCGGUGAAAUGCGUAGAGAUCUGGAGGAAUACCGAUGGCGAAGGCAGCCAUCUGGCCUAAUACUGACGCUGAGGUACGAAAGCAUGGGGAGCAAACAGGAUUAGAUACCCUGGUAGUCCAUGCCGUAAACGAUGUCUACUAGCCGUUGGGGCCUUUGAGGCUUUAGUGGCGCAGCUAACGCGAUAAGUAGACCGCCUGGGGAGUACGGUCGCAAGACUAAAACUCAAAUGAAUUGACGGGGGCCCGCACAAGCGGUGGAGCAUGUGGUUUAAUUCGAUGCAACGCGAAGAACCUUACCUGGCCUUGACAUACAGAGAACUUUCCAGAGAUGGAUUGGUGCCUUCGGGAACUCUGAUACAGGUGCUGCAUGGCUGUCGUCAGCUCGUGUCGUGAGAUGUUGGGUUAAGUCCCGCAACGAGCGCAACCCUUUUCCUUAUUUGCCAGCGAGUAAUGUCGGGAACUUUAAGGAUACUGCCAGUGACAAACUGGAGGAAGGCGGGGACGACGUCAAGUCAUCAUGGCCCUUACGGCCAGGGCUACACACGUGCUACAAUGGUCGGUACAAAGGGUUGCUACCUAGCGAUAGGAUGCUAAUCUCAAAAAGCCGAUCGUAGUCCGGAUUGGAGUCUGCAACUCGACUCCAUGAAGUCGGAAUCGCUAGUAAUCGCGGAUCAGAAUGCCGCGGUGAAUACGUUCCCGGGCCUUGCACUCACCGCCCGUCA
Molecule: ribosomal RNA, 924 nt
Filed under: uncultured bacterium
Lineage: Bacteria
Description: bacterial SSU rRNA
Rfam family: Bacterial small subunit ribosomal RNA
Source: RNAcentral